GACGAACGCUGGCGGCGUGCCUAAUACAUGCAAGUCGAGCGGACGGAUGGGAGCUUGCUCCCAGACCGUCAGCGGCGGACGGGUGAGUAACACGUGGGCAACCUGCCUGUAAGACUGGGAUAACUCCGGGAAACCGGGGCUAAUACCGGAUAACUCUUUCCCUCACAUGAGGGAAAGCUGAAAGAUGGCAUCUCGCUAUCACUUACAGAUGGGCCCGCGGCGCAUUAGCUAGUUGGUGAGGUAACGGCUCACCAAGGCGACGAUGCGUAGCCGACCUGAGAGGGUGAUCGGCCACACUGGGACUGAGACACGGCCCAGACUCCUACGGGAGGCAGCAGUAGGGAAUCUUCCGCAAUGGACGGAAGUCUGACGGAGCAACGCCGCGUGAGUGAUGAAGGUUUUCGGAUCGUAAAACUCUGUUGUCAGGGAAGAACAAGUACCGGAGUAACUGCCGGUACCUUGACGGUACCUGACCAGAAAGCCACGGCUAACUACGUG
RNAcentral lists this ribosomal RNA (498 nucleotides) under uncultured bacterium. Its description in RNAcentral is "partial 16S ribosomal RNA". It matches the Rfam family "Bacterial small subunit ribosomal RNA", at positions 28 to 507 of the family's 1533-position model. The record is from RNAcentral.